GUUUCGUAGUCCGGUAAAACUGAGAGUGAAAACUGAGUAAAACUGAGAACACAAUCAACAAAGGUUUGAUUUCAUUCCUUGCCGAACUUUAAAUGACAAAAAACUAACAUGAGCCAGCCUAAGGAAGAACCCGUCCUGGACCCGCAAUUUCUCGAUCUGGACAUCGUCGACGGUCCACUACAACAAUUGAUAAACGAAGAUCUACCUUGGCUGAGGGAUGAGACACCGCCGCCGUACUACAAUCUAACCCAGGAGGACUUUACCUCCAUCGCUAAGAAGACCGUCUGCAUGGGAACCCAGACUAAUGUUCUGGACUCUCAAGCUUCUCAAGCUUUGCAAACUUCAAAAACCAUCCAAAUAAGGUCGGGACGCCGUCAAGUAUCGAGGGGCACUCAAGUGCAACCGAUACAGGAGCUCAAUGCUGUAUGCCUCAAAUGCUUGCGAGAUAUAGUGGUGAUCAUCUCUCUUGGCUACACCUUUUAUAGCGCCCUAUGCUCCGCAACCUUUUUGUCGCUGGCGAAGUGAAUAACACAGUCAUUCCUGAUAAUGUGAGGCAGCUCCUGCCUCCCCAAUCCACACAAUGUUUUCUUUUUUUUUGUUACUUAUCAACGCAGUUCAGUUCCAGCUCAAAUUUCCAAGUCAUAGACCCACACGUAGUUAAGCGCCCAGUUAAACAGCAACGAGCUUUCAGCAUCCUUUUCCCAUUUCCCGUCACAAGUUUCCCAGGUCGAGUUUUCUGGUCCCAGUCCCAGUGCCUGGCGUUGUCCAGCGCCAUAAUAGAGCCCGGUCACGCGGAGAUUAGCCCGGUGCAAUCUGCUCCAGCGCCCCCGCCCUGACUGGACAUGACCAACAAUUUUUUGCACUUGGCGACGAGGAUGUUAGACUAAGACAACUACGGCGAUUCUGUAUGAUAUUGUCGCCUCCAUCCACCCGGUCAGCGAUCCGUUGUCAAAUAAAUGUCGAAUGGUGCAUCUUCAUGUGUUAAUUGUUA
Drosophila obscura is the source of this 991-nucleotide long non-coding RNA. RefSeq lists it as uncharacterized. NCBI's taxonomy places the organism in Eukaryota, Metazoa, Arthropoda, Insecta, Diptera, Drosophilidae. The transcript is spliced from 3 exons. The record is from RefSeq and is a predicted model, not a curated record.